UUUGGAUCCUCUCCAUCGAGCUUCUCUCCAUCCUCUCUCCAUCCAAAUCUGAGCCAUUGAUUUGGAAACUUAAAGGCUUGGAUACAUUUAAGAAGAGAGAGAAAAAAUGAAUUGUAUUUAAAGGCUUGAAUUAAUUUAAGAAGAGAGAGAAAACAUGAACUAAUCCUCACCUUUAAAAUUCAAAAUCAAUGGCUCAGAUUUUGGAUGGAGAGGGGAUGGAGAGAAGCUGGAUGGAGAGGAUCCAAA
RNAcentral lists this microRNA precursor (246 nucleotides) under Lotus japonicus. RNAcentral describes it as "miR7533a stem-loop (lja-MIR7533a)". It matches the Rfam family "MIR7533 microRNA precursor family". The record is from miRBase by way of RNAcentral. Lineage: Eukaryota; Viridiplantae; Streptophyta; Magnoliopsida; Fabales; Fabaceae.